Molecule: ribosomal RNA, 1387 nt
Filed under: Nothocladus bourrellyi var. campyloclonus
Lineage: Eukaryota; Rhodophyta; Florideophyceae; Batrachospermales; Batrachospermaceae
Description: eukaryotic LSU rRNA
Rfam family: Eukaryotic large subunit ribosomal RNA
Source: RNAcentral
GAAAAGAAACUAACAAGGAUUCCCCUAGUAGCGGCGAGCGAAGCGGGAAAAGCCCGGGAUGAAAAUCUCUUCGGAGAAUUGUAGUCUGAGCUCCCUUGGGCGGUCAGUGUGGGUAAAUCGUCUGGGAUGACGUGCCAUGGAGGGUGAGAGCCCCGUCCACCCCACACAGGACCCGCCCGCACGAGGGCGCUUCAACCGAGUCGGGUAGCUUGGGAAUGCUGCUCCAAUUGGUGGUAAAUCUCAUCAAAGGCUAAAUAACGGUGGGAGACCGAUAGCGAACAAGUACCGUGAGGGAAAGAUGGAAAGAACUUUGAAAAGAGAGUGAAAAGCGCUUGAAACCGUCACGGGGGAAGCGGAUUGCGUGAGUGAUGGCGUGCACUGUUCAGCUCAAAAUGUGGAGUGUAUUCUGUGCGCGCCGGGCGUGUGUGGCUGGGGUGUGUGCGAUUUUGGCAUGCGCUCCUGGUGAGGGCUCCCUGAUUGCCAGGUGAGGACACACGCGAAAUGACGCAAUACGACCCGUCUUGAAACACGGACCAAGGAGUCUAGCACGGCUGCGAGUCGAAGGGUGUUAAAACCCAGAGGGCGCAGUGAAAGCGAAAGAAAGCAAAUUGGGGAGGCGUUGCGGUUUUACCAAAAUGUCCUACCUCGAGCACCUGUGCUGGGACCCGAAAGAUGGUGAACUAUGCCGGAGUAGGGCAAAGCCAGAGGAAACUCUGGUGGAGGCUCGUAGCGAUGCUGACGUGCAAAUCGCUCGUCGAACUUGGGUAUAGGGGCGAAAGACUAAUCGAACCAUCUAGUAGCUGGUUCCCUCCGAAGUUUCUCUCAGGAUAGCGGGCCGACGACAUGUUGUUUUGUGCGGUAAAGCGAAUGAUUAGUGCAUUUGGGGGCCGAAGGCCUUCAGGCGAUUCUCAAACUUUAAAUGCGCAAGGGGGCGGCUGCUUAAUUGAGCCUGCUCUUUGAAAAACGUCGGCCCUGUGGGCCACUUUUGGUAAGCAGAACUGGCGAUAAGGGAUGAACCUUAAGCGCGGUUAAGGCGCCGUAUUGCCCGCUUAUAGACCCCACAAAAGGUGUUGAUUCAUCCAGACAGCAGGACGGUGGCCAUGGAAGUCGGAAUCCGCUAAGGAGUGUGUAACAACUCACCUGCCGAAUGAAUUAGCCCUGAAAAUGGAUGGCGCUGAAGCGGGCAGCCGACACCGCGCCGUUCGGGCGAGACGAUGCCCGGAUGAGUAGGAGGGCGUGGCGGUCAGUGACGCAGGCGUGGGUGCAGACCCCGCUGAAACGGCCGCUAGUGCAGAUCUUGGUGGUAGUAGCAAAUAUUCAAGCGAGAUCCUUGAAGGGCGAAGCGGGGAAGGGUUCCACGCGAACAUUGAUUGGGCGUGGGUGAGUC